AUGCGGAACGGAACCGAGUGAGGAAGCCCCGGUUACUUCCGGGCCACAACCCGGGUAAUACCGAAGGGGGCGAGGGUUGUCCGAAUUACUGGGCGGAAAAGGGGGGGAAGGGGUUUGUUAAGGCUGGGGGGGAAACCCCAUGCUUCACCCAUGGGUUGCCUUUGAAACUUGCUUGAUUUGAGUGCUGAAAAGGCAAGGGAAUUCCCCCGUGUAGCGGGAAAUUGCGAAAAAAUGUGGAGGAAUACCAGUGGCGAAGGCGCCUUGUUGGACAGUGCUUGACCU
Molecule: ribosomal RNA, 282 nt
Filed under: uncultured bacterium
Lineage: Bacteria
Description: partial 16S ribosomal RNA
Rfam family: Bacterial small subunit ribosomal RNA
Source: RNAcentral